UUUUUUAAUUAAAAACUAGAAUGRAAGGUUAUACAUUCAAAUUUCUUUAUUAAUUUUUAAUAAAUAAUUUAUAUUAAAUAUAAAAAUAUAUUUAUAAAAAAAAAAGACGACAAGACCCUAUUAAAUUUUACUUAUAGUUUAGCUGGGGAAGCUUUUUAAUUAAAAUUUUUUAAAUUUAAUAAAUAAAAAUCUAAUAAAAUUAAAAUUUUAAUAAAUUACUAUAGGGAUAACAGCAUUAUAUUUUUUUAAAGUUCAUAUUAAAAAAAAAAAUUGUGACCUCGAUGUUGAAUUAUAUUUUCUAUAUUUAAUGCAAUAAUUAUAAAAGUAGAUCUGUUCGAUCUUUAAAAUAUUACAUGAUUUGAGUUCAAACCGGUGUAAACCAGGUUGGUUUCUAUCUUUUUAUAUAUUUUUCUAGUACGAAAGGACAAAAAAAUUUUUAUUUCAAUAAAUUAGCAAAUAAAUGCAUUAGAUUUAGAAUCUAAAUAUAUUUAAUAAUU
This 497-nucleotide unclassified non-coding RNA is filed under the name Anelosimus oritoyacu. Its description in RNAcentral is "partial contains 16S ribosomal RNA and tRNA-Leu (trnL)". The record is from RNAcentral. Lineage: Eukaryota; Metazoa; Arthropoda; Arachnida; Araneae; Theridiidae.